GGUACUUACUAAUAUAAAAGUUCUUAAGCAAGAUACUUAGGUAGAUAACUUAGAUUAGACUCAUGUGCACUCAACUUCUUUGUAAUCGUCACUACAAAAAAAAUAGUGUUUUUCUGAUGGGACUUUACUGGUGGUUUGGCCGUCGGUAGGUUGCACGAGUUUAUCAUUAAAAUACAUAUUUGACGAUAAUAUUACUGGCGUUGCCAUAUUGACGGUCAGGUCGUGAUCAAGACACCUAAUAUUGGCGGUCAGCCCAUCAGUAUUAGCAACCAGAAGAAAAGAAAAAAGUAUUUUUUUUUCUAUAGUGCGUUUUGUCGCCUUCCAUACCAAUAUCGCACGAUCCUCUCUUACCAUGCCUUGUGAUGUCUCUUUUUGAAUGAUAUUGGGUUGAAUCCGACGUCGGUGAUAUGGACGCACUUCCCUUGUUUGAGCAUGAUAUUCUUUACUCUCCAAAUAAUCCACGCUCUACUGUUGUGAUCAACCAAUGAAGCCCUCCACACCGUCGUGCGCUUGGUUAAUUAACUUCUUUAGCUCCUGGGUUUGAUCUCUAAAUGAAGUUAUAUUUUGAUGUCUAAUUAUGUCUCUUGUAGCUUUCAUCAAAUUGUUUAGCACUCAGGCCGUCUACCG
Molecule: long non-coding RNA, 627 nt
Filed under: Zostera marina
Lineage: Eukaryota; Viridiplantae; Streptophyta; Magnoliopsida; Alismatales; Zosteraceae
Description: long non-coding RNA (ZMAR_LNC005669)
Source: RNAcentral